GGGUCCUUCGGGAUUAGUGGCGGACGGGUGAGUAACACGUGGGAACGUGCCUUUAGGUUCGGAAUAGCUCCUGGAAACGGGUGGUAAUGCCGAAUGUGCCCUUCGGGGGAAAGAUUUAUCGCCUUUAGAGCGGCCCGCGUCUGAUUAGCUAGUUGGUGAGGUAAAGGCUCACCAAGGCGACGAUCAGUAGCUGGUCUGAGAGGAUGACCAGCCACAUUGGGACUGAGACACGGCCCAAACUCCUACGGGAGGCAGCAGUGGGGAAUCUUGCGCAAUGGGCGAAAGCCUGACGCAGCCAUGCCGCGUGAAUGAUGAAGGUCUUAGGAUUGUAAAAUUCUUUCACCGGGGACGAUAAUGACGGUACCCGGAGAAGAAGCCCCGGCUAACUUCGUGCCAGCAGCCGCGGUAAUACGAAGGGGGCUAGCGUUGCUCGGAAUUACUGGGCGUAAAGGGAGCGUAGGCGGACAUUUAAGUCAGGGGUGAAAUCCCAGAGCUCAACUCUGGAACUGCCUUUGAUACUGGGUGUCUUGAGUAUGAUAGAGGUAUGUGGAACUCCGAGUGUAGAGGUGAAAUUCGUAGAUAUUCGGAAGAACACCAGUGGCGAAGGCGACAUACUGGAUCAUUACUGACGCUGAGGCUCGAAAGCGUGGGGAGCAAACAGGAUUAGAUACCCUGGUAGUCCACGCCGUAAACGAUGAUUGCUAGUUGUUGGGAUGUUU
RNAcentral lists this ribosomal RNA (719 nucleotides) under Mycoplana sp. RNAcentral describes it as "bacterial SSU rRNA". It matches the Rfam family "Bacterial small subunit ribosomal RNA", at positions 78 to 833 of the family's 1533-position model. Lineage: Bacteria; Pseudomonadati; Pseudomonadota; Alphaproteobacteria; Hyphomicrobiales; Rhizobiaceae. The record is from RNAcentral.